RNAcentral lists this ribosomal RNA (465 nucleotides) under Vreelandella stevensii. RNAcentral describes it as "partial 16S ribosomal RNA". It matches the Rfam family "Bacterial small subunit ribosomal RNA", at positions 338 to 795 of the family's 1533-position model. The record is from RNAcentral. Lineage: Bacteria; Pseudomonadati; Pseudomonadota; Gammaproteobacteria; Oceanospirillales; Halomonadaceae.
CCUACGGGAGGCUGCAGUGGGGAAUAUUGGACAAUGGGGGCAACCCUGAUCCAGCCAUGCCGCGUGUGUGAAGAAGGCCCUCGGGUUGUAAAGCACUUUCAGUGAGGAAGAACGCCUGGUGGUUAAUACCCAUCAGGAAAGACAUCACUCACAGAAGAAGCACCGGCUAACUCCGUGCCAGCAGCCGCGGUAAUACGGAGGGUGCGAGCGUUAAUCGGAAUUACUGGGCGUAAAGCGCGCGUAGGUGGCUUGAUAAGCCGGUUGUGAAAGCCCCGGGCUCAACCUGGGAACGGCAUCCGGAACUAUCAAGCUAGAGUGCAGGAGAGGAAGGUAGAAUUCCCGGUGUAGCGGUGAAAUGCGUAGAGAUCGGGAGGAAUACCAGUGGCGAAGGCGGCCUUCUGGACUGACACUGACACUGAGGUGCGAAAGCGUGGGUAGCAAACAGGAUUAGAUACCCCUGUAGUC